This 71-nucleotide transfer RNA is filed under the name Kofleriaceae bacterium. RNAcentral's name for it is "tRNA-Ala". It matches the Rfam family "tRNA". From Rfam's summary of the family: Transfer RNA (tRNA) molecules are approximately 80 nucleotides in length. Their secondary structure includes four short double-helical elements and three loops (D, anti-codon, and T loops). Lineage: Bacteria; Pseudomonadati; Myxococcota; Haliangiales; Kofleriaceae. The record is from RNAcentral.
GGGCCCGUCGUUCAACAGCAGGACACCGUUCUCGCAUGUCGGUGAUAGGGGUGCGACUCCCCUCGGGUCCA